GGGGGGAGGGGAGGGAGGGGAGAGGAGGGGAGAGGAGAGGCAUAUUAGAAAAAAGAAAAGCUCAUAGAUUAAUUUAAUAAUGGGAUUAAAUAUUUUUUCUGGCAGGAAGCAUUCCUCUAGGAUCUAAAAUAUGAUGUACGGAUGAGAAGGAGUCAUGCCCAGAUCGCAAAAUGCCGUGACUAUAAGAUGUACAGGGGCCUUUGGGCUUUGGUGGCUGACAAGCAAACUUCAGACAAGUUUGGAAGUUAAGAGGGAAACAUCCCAGGAUCUGCUGCUUAACCGCAGACUUUCAAAAUAUGCUUAUCUUUCCAUAGAAAAUGGAAAAACGUACCAGUUCCAAGACAUACCACUGGGAUUCCUUUUCAAUUGGCCUAGAUGGUGGACCAGCUCUCCUACAGCUAAUGGGAGUAGCAGUUUUUAGAAAUCAGGCUGUCAGAUAAGAAUUCAUGGAGUUAUAAUAUAUAAUGUUGUCCUAAAGCAAUCUUUAUGAUGAAACUGACAUGUUCUGGGCUCUGUGGCAGACCUGGGAAGUUAAACAUGUCUCGUCUUGGCUAUUUUAGAGGCUCAAAUAGGAUUAAGGCUGAGAAAUGGAGGUAAAGGGCAACAUGAAAAAACUCAAGAAUGCACUCUUUCUUAUCUUUAAAAGUAUGCUCAUAUUGAAUGGUCUUGCAGAAGUCACUUAAAUAGCAGACAAUUGAUCACUUGGCUUAAUGCAACUGCACUGUGUGUAGUAAGGAAUUCCUCAUUUUUUUGAACGAUCUAAGUUGCCACCAUGAAAGAACAUUCUCAGUUCUUAUUACAUUUGUUGACAUUGCGUGUUGCCAUGCACAGAAUCAUGUUUUUCCACAGCACUUGAGCAUAUUUUGAACUAUUUAUUUUAACUGUUUUCUCCAAUAAUUUCAUAUGUACCACCAAGAUAGAAGCAACCCUUGAAGCAAAGCACUGUGCAAGGAUGACAGGAUGCAGAAGCCAGAAAAAAGCUAUCAGUGUAUACAAACUACCACAGAAUACCAUCUUUGCUCUGCUUUUCUAUUUAUCAUGGCAGAAUAUGAGUCAGAGAACUGCUUAAAAUAACUUUUUAAAAGAUUUUUUUGCAAGGUGUCUGCUGCACCAGAACUAUGCAAUAAGACAGUGGUUCUAGUGCUCUUGCAUGGUCAUAGCACAAACAUGAUGAUGAUUCAAAACAAAUAAAUAAACAAAUACAUAUAUAUGCA
This is a long non-coding RNA of Anser cygnoides (Swan goose), 1214 nucleotides long. The record is from Ensembl. NCBI's taxonomy places the organism in Eukaryota, Metazoa, Chordata, Aves, Anseriformes, Anatidae.